AUCUUCAUCAACCCUGUCAUGUGGAUUUGGCCACAGGUUCUCCUCUACAUCACGAUGGAUGUUUUUAUUAGCCAAACAUCUUGGAAAGAACCUUCGGGCACGGCCAAUAAUGUGAUACACACAUGCAG
This is a long non-coding RNA of Etheostoma cragini (Arkansas darter), 128 nucleotides long. RefSeq lists it as uncharacterized. Lineage: Eukaryota; Metazoa; Chordata; Actinopteri; Perciformes; Percidae. The record is from RefSeq and is a predicted model, not a curated record. The transcript is spliced from 3 exons.